Molecule: long non-coding RNA, 296 nt
Organism: Ficedula albicollis (Collared flycatcher)
Lineage: Eukaryota; Metazoa; Chordata; Aves; Passeriformes; Muscicapidae
Exons: 3
Source: RefSeq, a predicted model, not a curated record
AUGGAAAUUUCCCUUUUUUCCCCCAGAGCUUUUUCCAAGGGGAGCGUGGAAAAUGAAGGUCAGAGGCUGAGGGAGCCCCAGCUGCAAAGGGCACCUGAAAUUCAGAGUCGGGAUCUGGAGGCGGCCGUGCCCGGAGCCGGGGGAGGAUCGAUGGACAAGCCAAGCAACUUCUGACUCCGCGGCGUUUUCCGGGAAAAAAUUCCAUGGCCAUGUAUCCUACCAGGGUCUCCGGCGAGGAAUGCAACGGCAUCAACGCCAUGGCGGCCGAGAGCGGCCCCGGCACGCGCCUGCGCCAA